Molecule: ribosomal RNA, 459 nt
Filed under: uncultured bacterium
Lineage: Bacteria
Description: partial 16S ribosomal RNA
Rfam family: Bacterial small subunit ribosomal RNA
Source: RNAcentral
CCUACGGGAGGCAGCAGUGAGGAAUCUUGGUCAAUGGGCGCGAGCCUGAACCAGCCAAGUCGCGCGAGGGACGACGGUCCCAUGGAUUGUAAACCUCUUUUGUCGGGGAGCAAAAGACGACACGCGUGGCCUUCCGAGAGUACCCGAAGAAAAAGCAUCGGCUAACUCCGUGCCAGCAGCCGCGGUAAUACGGAGGAUGCGAGCGGUAUCCGGAUUUAUUGGGUUUAAAGGGUGCGCAGGCGGAAGAUCAAGUCAGCGGUAAAAUUGAGAGGCUCAACCUCUUCGAGCCGUUGAAACUGGUUGUCUUGAGUGAGCGAGAAGUAUGCGGAAUGCGUGGUGUAGCGGUGAAAUGCAUAGAUAUCGCGCAGAACUCCGAUUGCGAAGGCAGCAUGCCGGCGCUCAACUGACGCUCAUGCACGAAAGUGUGGGUAUCGAACAGGAUUAGAUACCCUAGUAGUC